UUCGUCCCUUUCCUCCGUAAGUAUAUAGUUCACUUGUCACAUUUAUAUAUGAAUUACAAACUUAAGCUACAGUUUGUGUUUUAUAUAGUUUCGUGUUAUUUGAUGAUAUUCAAGAUUUCAAUAACUUACCACACGUAAAGAGUAUCUUUGCGAGGGUAGUUGUUAAGUUUCCUAGGCGUCAUGAUAGUCAACACUUCAUCCUACAGGAUAUCACAGGAUCCAAAAUGGAAGCAAUUUCAAGUCGCAAUAAUGUUCCACGUUUCGAUGCCUUACUCACACAAGGAUGCACAUAUACAUUGUAUAGAGUGGGAUUCUGUCUAAAUAGGGAGGGGAUUCAAUUUCGGAAUAUUGGACAUGGGCUAGAGAUCGGACUGAUAACACAUACUAUUGUGGAGCCAUUCAUUAAGCCAAUCCAAUUUCCUCCAUUUCCAAAGUAUCUUAUGCCAUUCCAUAAGGUGUAUCAACAACCGCAUAAGUCGUUCGUAGACAUUAUUGGCAUAGUUCUUCAUUUAGAGCCAUUAAAGCAUAUCGGUGGAAGGCCGUAUAGAGAGGCUGUACUAAUGGAUUCCAGGUGGGAUCUAAUCGUCGUGGGGGUAUGGACUGACCUCUUGCAAAGAAAUGCUCUACGAUGGUCGUUAGCUAGAGUUGACAAUAACAUCAUUAUUGGAACUAUGUUGCGUCGUAACAAUAAACAUAGUAAUUUCUCUUGUACCUAAAUUCUUUCAACUUGAACUCAAUUCUUAUGCUUAUUUAUUAUCCUAACAAUAGGAUGCUUGGAAACCUCGGAUUACAGCACCGUUCAUUUCAACCCAGAUCAUCACACUACAUACCACUUGAAGACUAUUCGACGUUCGUUGAUUCAAAAUCCAAGGCGUCGUAUCGUCGACAAAUUUCUUGAGAACAGACGGGCACAUCUCACAACUGUGAUAUCUGAUUGAGACGUAUUCUAGCUUGUUAUAGUAGAUACUUUGUUAGUUAUGAUUUAGAUGAAACUUAGUAGUAAUGAUUUGUUCUCUAUUUUGUAUUAGUCGUGUGUUCGGUCUCAAUGUUGAUCACUUUGUAUAAAACUAUGUGACCUUUCUAUGAGCUAAUAAAUAAGUUCACCAUCAUUAUUCUUCA
Molecule: long non-coding RNA, 1119 nt
Organism: Zea mays
Lineage: Eukaryota; Viridiplantae; Streptophyta; Magnoliopsida; Poales; Poaceae
Exons: 5
Source: RefSeq, a predicted model, not a curated record